AGCAACACGGGGCGCUGACUGGCACGUGAUCGCCGUCUCCUGUGCCGUGCCGGAAAGCUUAGAAAAAAAUUUCUGCCAAACCGAGGAAGCCGAUGUUUGGAGGCGGGAGUUCACCAGAAUACGGUUUCUUAUUUCCAUAGAUAAAGCUACCCUUGUGAUGUGACGUUAUAUUGUGAUUCCUGCUCAUAGAAUUUAGAAUAGAACCUCUGAUUUGUUAGAAAUAGGGAAACCCAAGAUGGAGUCACAGUGGCCAGUGUGGCACCCAUCUUGAUUGUUUCUAAAGAUCUGAUGUAAGAUUUGGAAUAUGUAAAUUAAGAUAACUGGAGUGUGAAGUCAAAUAAGUAAGGCUCCUUGCUGCUGGGGUUGUAACUGUUGCACCCUAGGGAUUGUACCUCACAAAAGACAGGGUCUGAGUGCGGUUGCUGAAGAAGGGUCUCGACGGACUGCAUGCGCUACGCUCGCUGGAGACUGUCCGUGUCAGAAGCUGCCGGAGUAGAAGGUGGUCCCCAUCUGAGCUUGGAGUGAUGUUCUGGAGUCCCCGUUGCUCCAAUUUAGCCCUGAUGCACAGUGAUACUGACUGCCAGUCCUUGGAAACCACCUGUCAAUCACCAGGGCCAUGACUUGCUAAGGGAAUAUGAAAGACUGUAAGAAGUUUUGGCAUUUCUUGUUCGGGUGGAUUUUCCUUAAGGAAAAGUCUCAUGAAAAGAAGAAUCCUCAACAUUUCUGCUGUAGAACCACAGCAACUCUAUUCAUUAGCUCUCUUGAGUGCUAUUAGGUUUUUUUUUUUCUUUUGUUCACUAGUUUCACAAAGAUUCUACCUUACCAUCAAAAAGAAUGUUUUAAAAACCAAAUUUUAUCCCACUCCCUCGCAGUGAGUUAUGGGCUCAUGGGGAAAGGAUCCCCCACUUUUGACUGUUCUAAGAAAGAGCAAGAAAUACUCUGGGAUUACUCAUUUGAAAAAAUACUCCUGGAACUUCCCUGGUGGUCCAGUGGGUAAGACUCUGCACUCCCAAUGCAGGGGGCCUGGGUUCGAUCCCUGGUCGGGGAGCUAGAUCCUGCAUGCAUGCCUCAACUAAGAGUUCGCAUGCCGCAACUAAGACCCAGUGCAGCCAAAAUAAAUAGAUAUUUAAAAAAACACUCAAAGAAAUACAUUUUUCAAUCAUUUUAAAAUAACAUUUUUUCUCAUUACAAAAGUACUACAUAUUCACCCUGGAAAGUUUGGAAGAUGCUGAGAAUUAAAAUGAAAAUGUAAAUUAUCUAUAAAUUUAUAACCACCUAUUAACACCUGUUAACAUUUUGCCUUUUAAAAAGUGAUUUAACCAGUACUAAAGGAUAAUGUAAUCAUAGCUGAACUACUAAUAAAUUGGAGAACUAUGUAAUAAGAAAUCUAUAGGUGAUAAUUGUUGAAGCUAGGUGAUGGGUACGUGAGUGCUUAUUAUACCAUUCUAUUUUUAUAUAGAAAUUUUCCAUAAUCCAAAAAUAAAAAAGAGGUAUCUAUUUGAAAA
Molecule: long non-coding RNA, 1505 nt
Organism: Balaenoptera ricei (Rice's whale)
Lineage: Eukaryota; Metazoa; Chordata; Mammalia; Artiodactyla; Balaenopteridae
Exons: 3
Source: RefSeq, a predicted model, not a curated record